UUUUUUUGGCAAUUAAAGUGUAAGAGGUUAUGUAUAUCAGAACUUAUGAUUCAGAACAUCUGAAACACAAGCUCUGAAGUACUUAACUCUGAUAGAGAAUUUUAAAUAUCUCAAAGGCUCUGAACUAUUUAAGUGGAAAACGUUUAGUAUUCACUGCUGAACAGUUGUCCAUUAAAAUAGCAGUUACCGAGUAAAUUUCUGCACGUGGUCUACGUGUGUCAGGUAGUGGGUGGUUAAUGAUGAUUUUUGGUAUUCAACUUUCUGUCAAUUAGC
This 273-nucleotide long non-coding RNA is filed under the name Trifolium pratense (red clover). RNAcentral describes it as "long non-coding RNA (TPRA_LNC011515)". The record is from RNAcentral. Lineage: Eukaryota; Viridiplantae; Streptophyta; Magnoliopsida; Fabales; Fabaceae.